AAGGUGUAAAGACAUGAUUCAGACGUCUUUUUAUAAUAAAUAUCGAUUGGUGCAGCCGUAAUGUUGUAGCUGUCUAUCAAACUGUUAAGGUCUCCCAAGUAUCAAGUGACUAGCAUGCAUAGGUACAAUAUCACAAUAUACCUCAUCGUGAUAUUUUCUAAUGAAGAAUGGUACAAUAACUUGCUCGGUAACUUGAGUUUCACCACACUCAUUCAACCAUCGUAAUUGGUGGGGAUUUGGAUGUUUGAUGCAUGUUAAUCCUAUUCUUUCCACGAAUAGAGUGCUUGCAAUAUUAGGUUAGCUUGAAUGCACUAUU
RNAcentral lists this long non-coding RNA (316 nucleotides) under Carica papaya (papaya). RNAcentral's name for it is "long non-coding RNA (CPAP_LNC000988)". The record is from RNAcentral. Lineage: Eukaryota; Viridiplantae; Streptophyta; Magnoliopsida; Brassicales; Caricaceae.